CCUACGGGUGGCAGCAGUGAGGAAUAUUGGUCAAUGGUCGGAAGCCUGAACCAGCCAAGCCGCGUGCGGGAGGACGGCACUACGUGUGGUAAACUGCUUUUGUCCGGGAAUAACGCCCGUGACGCGUCGGCGUUUGAGUGUACCUGAUGAAAAAGGACCGGCUAAUUCCGUGCCAGCAGCCGCGGUAAUACGGAGGGUCCGGGCGUUAUCCGGAUUUAUUGGGUUUAAAGGGUGGGGAGGCGGCGUGUUAAGCGGGCUGUGAAAGCUCCGGGCCCAACCCGGGCCUUGCAGCGGGAACUGGCGGGCUCGAGUCCGAGGAAAGCAGGCGGAAUUCGCGGUGUAGCGGUGAAAUGCAUAGAUAUGGCGCAGAACCCCGAUUGCGAAGGCAGCUUGCUGCAGCGGCACUGACGCUGAUGCUCGAAAGCGUGGGUAUCGAACAGGAUUAGAUACCCGUGUAGUC
Molecule: ribosomal RNA, 460 nt
Filed under: uncultured bacterium
Lineage: Bacteria
Description: partial 16S ribosomal RNA
Rfam family: Bacterial small subunit ribosomal RNA
Source: RNAcentral